AUAUAUAUAUAUUAUAUAUAAAGUGUAAUCAUUAUCUUAAAUAGAUGAUCAGAAAUCAUGGUAAAUCAUGCCGGUUUACAAUACUGCUCUCGGUGAUCUGCACGAAUUAGAGAACAGAUGAUAAAUGAAAGAAAUUUAAAAAGGUAUCCCACUAAACCAUCCAUUAGUCAACGUUUCGUGUAUCAUUUGCGUAAGCUCCUGUGGAAAUAUUAUACUGAAUAUUGUUUCUAACAUUGAAAUUGUUAAAUGAGUUUCACACAAUGUUGUACAUGACAAACAUUGAUAAUUGUGUCACUAAUCACAUUUGAAAGAGGUAGAGAGGAGCAGCUUGCUCACUUGUUUAGUAAUAUUAAGCUUCUUGAUAUAUUUUUACCAAAAAAAAAAAAAAAUGACCCUAGUACACAUGCCAAAUGACUACCCAAAAUCGAUGUUUUUAUGAAAUUAUUUCCCUGCCAUGAAUAAAAAAACAUGAUUGAGGAACAUUUUGUAGUAUUUGUAAUUCCUCUCACUCUAGAUGUCAAGACAUAUGCUGUGAGGAUGGAACGGUGCAGGAAUCUAUUAAUUAAUUUACUGAUAUAAUAUUAGGACAGUUUACUUGAAAAUGAUAUAGAGGGGGAUGCAACAUCUAUAAAUUUUUUGCCACUGCUGUCGCUGCUGAUUUCUUUCUUAAUUUCUUUCUUUCUUUCUGUCUUUCCACCUUCUUUCUUUCCCUUUGAAGUGGAGAGUGAGGAGUGGGCAGGUACUGGUUGUUUCUGAGGUCGCCUUCACUGGUGUGGCUGUCAGGAAUGUGUUGGGUAAAUCCCUUUCAUGAGGUCAGGUAACCCCUCAUUGUAUUUAAAUGGAGUAGCUCAAGAAGCCACACAAAUCAAAUGAGGCUUGAACUAAACAUUUUCUACUCUAUUAUUAUGGUUUUGAAGAUCAGUUACAUUGCCAUGCCCAUAUUGUCACCCUGAUAUUAAUGCUCUUGAUUGAAAUAUGACACACAGGCAGUCAUCACCUAUUUCGACGAAAUUCAUGGAUAUAUUUUAUUUUUUUUAAAGACUUGACUUGGAAAAGGAGUUAUCAUCUUGUAGUCAAACAAAAGUUUAAGAGCUGACAUAAAAAGGAGAGAUGUAUAAAUGUGGCCUUUUGUAUAUUGAAAUGAUGAAUAUGAAGUUAAUACCAUGAGUCAUCUAUAAAUUACACACCUUAACAAUCAGGAACGUAAUACAGUAUACCCUGCACGAGGUCAGGUCCAUAAUUAAUUUAACAUAGUUAUUGUUAAGAACUUGUUAAUCCUGUUGUCAGUUGAACCAGCCUUAGAGAGGAUCAAGAAACAAAUAGACUAAUCGGCAUUAUAUAUACUUGUAAAUUGUUUCUUAACCCAGUUUUUCUUGAAUUUUGACUUCAUAAAUUUAUGGGACAUGGACAGAACAGUUGGUUAGUGAUUACACUAUUAUGUGCUUCAAAGCCAGUUUCAGUUGUGAUACAAAAAUUAUCAUUAACGAUUCCAAACUUGAAAACACGUAACUCAAAUAGUGUACACACAAAUGCUGUAUAUAACUAUACUUGAAUAUGUAAAGUAAAAGGACACAAGUGCAACUAAUGUGACAUUUUAUUGUGGCAACGUUUCGCUCUCCAGGAGCUUUAUCAAGUCGUUGCCACAAUAAAAUGUCACAUUAGUUGCACUUGUGUCCUUUUACUUUACAUAUUGUUGGUAAUUCUACCAACUUUAUUACUAUACUUGAAUAGUUGAUAUCUAUAAACUGUAAUCCCUAUAAUGAAAAAUAUAAUAUGUUUGUUUUAGUCUUACUGGUUUUGCUAAGAAGAUCCUGCCCACACACACAUACUUGUCAACAUACUCUGCCAAGCAAAUAUUUUAAUUCCUAUAUAAGAACAAAAACUUUAAUAGGUCACCAAAGUCGGCUUAUUCGUCCAUGCUAGGCAGAUCUGGCUCUCGUCCAACCAUUCUUAUUUAUAUAUUUGUCCACGCUUUCCCAUUUGCACCACUUAUUACCACUCUAUUGCCUAACCAGUUCUUUCCUAUAUCCAUUUUAUAUUUUAAUUUAUUCACUUAGGAUACAUUGUAUAGAGUUCUAUUUUAGGUAGGUAUGUUCAGCACCUUAUCUGCAACUUUAUAUCUCUAUUCACUACACGGCAAAAUCAUUCAUGUCAGCAAAAUUGGGAAACCUCAAAUGCAAUAGGAAAAUGGAUAGUACAUGAACUUGCUUGCUCAUGUGCACUCACUUGUCAACAUACAAACAUACAUAUACACACAAACUCUCACACAGGUACAUACAGAAACACACGCAUACACAUAAAUGCACACUGACAAAGACCUGAGAGCAAACAUAACAUAAGGCAUAUUGCUAUGAUUAGCAGACUUCAGAAUGAUGUUCAAGAACUUGCACAAAAAAGCCUUGAGAACCUUGUAUGUGACAUACGUUAGGCCAGUCAUCAAAUAUUCCACCUCAGUGUGGCCCCCACACCUGAAAAGAUGUGUGAAGCUUGAGAAGGUCCAAAGGUUUGGAAUCAGGUUGGUGCCAGAACUGAGAGAUGCACUCUGAGGACAGGUUGAAGGAACUAAACUUGACAGCCCUGGCAGAGAGGACAAGAGGAGACAUGAUUAUGAUAUACAAAAUCUUAGAGGAAUAGAUAGACAAAAUGUUGUGAUUAAGGAGGAUAGGAUCAUGAUGGCACAGGUAAAAGCUGAAAAUACAGUCGAGUCAUAGAAAUGUAAGGACAUAGGGUGACUGAAAAGUGGAAUGAUUUGGUUGUUGCAGAGAUGGAGGCAAACUCGAUAUACAUUUUCUGAGUAUAUAUAAGGCUCACACCCUAUAUACAGUACAUACAUUCAUGCACUCACAUAAAAGUAUGCACACACACACACAAAAGCAUGCACAUACAAAAACACACUCAAAGAAGCACUCAUACAUACCAGCUUUUUAUACAGGAGGACCCCACUUGUACAGCAGGUUAUUUUUUGGGUUACUGCUGUAAAAUGAAACAUAGCCCCCCCUUUCUUUUUUCACGUUCAAAUGCAUAUAAAAGCCUGGUAACAUGUUUACACCAUCAUAUAUUAAGUGAGCAAUAGUGUUAGGCUAGAAACAAAUAUACAUACAUUACAUACAUUAUUUACCUUAAAAUAUUUUUGUCCUUAGCUUAUAGUGAGUGGUAGAUAUAUUUAUUGAAGGAAGUCUGAAUAAAUGAAGAAUGGGUAUAAUUGAAAAACCGCUGUAUUGGCGAUAUACCCUAAAGCAAAACCGCGCCCCACCUCUAUGGAUAUAUGAAGGAUUUUAAUUUGCUGUUUAUUUUCUUUAUUUAAAAAAUAUAAUGAAAUAUGAAAGUUAAGCUUUGAAAUAAAUGCCACUGUCUCUGUAUCAAUUUACUUUAGAAUUUUUCAUUGUAACUUGAGUUAUUGCUUUAUGUAAUAUAUUUGUUUUUCCCUUGCAUAAUAAAUUUUUUCCCUCGCAUAAUAAAUUCUUUGUGUUGUAGUUCUUUGAAUUAAUAGGAAUUAUUGAAAAUUAAGCAAAAUAAUUGAUCUUCAGUUGUAUAACAAUGUUAUGCUCCAUAAGACGACUUUUAUUUUCAUAUUGACACCUCUUUUUAUAAACCCUUGUUGUUUUGCAUUUUUCUGCCCAUUCAGUGCUUCCUCCUUGUACACUUUUAAUGUAUGAAGAGCUGAACUUUGUGCAAAAACAAAUUCAGAGUUUGAUAAGAAUGGAUCUUGGGAUAAUGUAUACCCUUCAUGAGUUUUCUUCAGUUUCAUUCUUUCUUUUGCAACUGUCAAAUUUAAUAACUCAGAAUUUAAACUCUGACAAAUGGCAAUGUUUGGUUCAGUCUUCCAAUCAUGGCAGAUCAUCUUAUGAACUUUAGAGAUGGAGAAGGCAGGGAACAAAUGUUUUCUACUUUGUCAUCACAAUUGGAGAGCUGGGUUCCUACACCUUAUGUGAAGCAUUACACUUGUCCUUCCUACAUAACACAUUUAUUUUUUUAAAGAAUGCAUAGACAGUGUUCUGUUGUACAUAUAGUGUAGGUAGUGAAGUCUCUGUUUUCAAGAUCAGACUGUUAACAGGCUGAAAUGUUCUGCAUUCGGUCCUAUUAUUUCAUUCAUUAGUUGGGUUUGUGACUUUGUGUGGUUUGAAGAAUUUAACUGAAUAUAGUUAUUUGACAGUAAAUACAAAUAAGUGGUUUUUGCUUUUAGAACCUUGCAGGAAAUAUUAGUCCUGCUUACCUUAAAUCUGGAAAAGGAAUUGCAUCUCUGCACAUUGAUGUCUGUAGUCUUCCUUUCUCAUCUGCUUCACAUCCUUAGCUUCUGGGCAUUAUUAUUGAAAUUUUUCCAGCGUCACGGUAAGUGUGUUUAAGUAAUAGGAUGCAUUGCGUAUAAAUAAUAUAAAAAAAUUGUUAAACCGUACUGUGCCUAGGUGAGUGUUAGGACAACAGGCCCUAAAAAUACCCAGGGAAGUACUGUAUGAACAUUACUCAAUAAUUAUUGUUAAUUUUAUUGUAAUGCCCAUUACUUUGCAUCAUUACAGCUAGAAAGAGUAAUAACACAAAUGCAGCGUAAUAUGUCCCUUUAUUAAUGUUUUGCCAACUCGGUGGGGUUUAUCAAAUCUCAAACAGAUUUAUCUGAGAAGAGAGGAUGUGCAUAUACAUAGCGAGUGUAAUGACAUGGAGAGUCAGGUGAGGUACGUUGAAGCUGCCUUCUUGGGUAGAAUGAUAAGUUUGACGAAUAUAUGGCUAAGAAGAGGUUGGAUUCAAGAGGGACCUCCCUACCUUGAGCCAGUAGGCCUGCUGCAGUGUUCUACUAUAACUUACUUGGGUGGGAUAGCAAUCAUGAAGCUCCUGGCAAGAGGUUCAGAUAUAUUGUAGAAGCCUUUCUGGCUGAAGUUGUUUGAUAUGCUGAUUAGUGAUUCAAGAAUCCUGCAUUUUGAAGCUUCUUCUUCUUUGACACUCAGUUGUGUGACAUUGUAAUUGAUCUGGUGGUUGUAGGAUCUGUGAAACACAGGUGUUGCACAACUGGUCCUUUCGGCUGGUAUAUUUGUGUUCAGAAAUGCAUGUGUGGACAUCUCAGGAUGUUUCUCCCACUUAUCUUUGAUCAGUCAUUGUAAAUGAUUUUGUAUGCUCCCAUAGUUUUCACAUUGUAGUCUCUCUUAUUGGUGAUGCCCUUGAUUGCAGAAGAGACAGUGGUAGAUAUUUAGAAUUUGGUGUUGGAGAGAAUGCUGGAGAUGUGUUUAACAAUAUAGUUGUUAGGGAGGACCAUGCAUAUUCAUUCAUUUGUAUUGUUUAGGCGAGUUGAAGAUGUGUGCAAGGUGCCUUCAGUGUCUGAUGAAAUAAAAUGUUAUUGGAAAGAACAUUCUUCAAGGAAUUCACUUCUACAAAUAUGAAGAACACAGAGGAAUGAACCUAUGAUGAUAUAUUUAGGCUUGGUGUCAUGGUGUGAGUAGUCAAGGAGAUUGUGUUAACCCUUUGACUGUUUUGGUUGUAUAUAUACGUCUUAUGAGCCAGUGUUUCGGACGUAUAUAUACUCGGUAAUUCUAGCAGCUUCAAAUCAAGCAGGAGAAAGCUGGUAGGCCAUCAUGUGAGAGAAUGGGUCUGUGUGGUCAGUGUGCACCAUAUAAAACGUCUUGCAGCACACAGUGCAUAAUGAGAAAAAAAAAAACUCCGCCCCUUUUUUUUUUUUUUUUUUUGUAUUAAAACGCAGACUUUGAGGUGUAUUUUCGUAUAGUAUUUAUCAUUAUAUUCUCAUUUUCACAGUCUCGUGUGAUAAAAUGAAAAACUUAUUACAGAAAUAGAGAUGAUUUUGAUUAGUUUCAUGAAGAAAAUGACCUUGAAAUUGAGCUCAAAGUAGCGGAAAUGUUCGAUUUUUACCAAUGUUCAAGAGUAAGCAAAUCACACCACAUGUCCAAUACACAUCAACUGGGGAGUCUAAUAUUCAUUCACUAGUGCACUGAUAUUAUUUAUACCAUUUUUACAAUAAUGCAGUAAUCUGCAUACCUGGAGUUUACCUGGAGAGAGUUCCGGGGGUCAACGCCCCCGCGGCCCGGUCUGUGACCAGGCCAGUAAAUCUAUUUUUUGUAUGAAUUAAAAAUCAAAAUAGCAAUAGUAAUAUAAGAGGGGCCUAGAGAUGUGACUAAUGAACAGAGGAUAUGUUAUUUUAGUGCCAAGAAUGUCUACAUUGUUUAUUCUGGACCCUAUUUUGAAAUUGGCAUCUUUUUUAAUUUGCAUGAAAUUGGCCAAAUUGCCAAUUUCUGACCAUUUUAUUGGGUAGUUCAAAUUGGUAAAUGGGCAGUUUCUUGUACUCAGUUGAUAGAAAAAAUGGAAUUCUAAAGAAAUAGCUAAGAGUUUGGUCAACUGGAACAACGGAAUUGGCCAAAAUUAGGGCUCAAAGUCGGCGAAACCGCCGAUGUGUAUAUGUCGCUGAGACCGCUAACUUCGCGGGAGCGUAAUUCCGUGAGUUUUCGACCAAAUUUCGUACUUUUGGUGUCAUUACCAUUGGGAAAAGAUUAUCGUUUCAUAAGUUUUUUUUUUUUUUUUCUCCAAAAAUUUUUCGACAUAGAAUGAUAGUUUCAGAAAGGGACUUGCAACAGUCGGAGGGUUAAUUUGGAGGUUUUUAAGACUUUGCAAUGUAAUUCAUGAUCAGAUUUACAGAGAAGAACAUGAGGAAAGGUAGUGUGCCAUAAAUUUUGUCCACAAGUGUGAACUGAAACAGGGCUCCACCUGGUUAAACUAGGAGUGCUGGAUUCUGGGAUCUUCACUAAUCAGCAUAUCAGACAACUUCAUCCAGAACAACAACUUCUGCAACUUAGCUGAACCUCUUGCCAGGAAACUUAAUGAUUGCUAUCCACGUAGCAACAGAUUAUAGUACGUAUGGGGAAAUACUGCAGCAGGCUUACUGGCCUAAGAUAGGCAGGUCCCUCUUGAAUCUAAUCUCUCCUCAGCUAUAUAUUUGUCAGCUUAACAUACUUUGCCUGACUCUUCAUAUCACUAGGCUAUAUAUAUACGUGUGCGCACGCGCAGUACAACUUUGGUUAUCAGUUGCUUUACUCGUCGAGUAAAUCAGUUUUUGAAUAAGGUGUCUGAGAAAAAAAAAAGUCCUGGUUUUUUGUGCGUUCUCUUGGUUGUCGACAGACAAGUUUUCGCAUGUACAGAACUGGACAGUGACAGUGUAAUGUCUCAAUUUAGACAAGUGUUAAAAGAGAGCCUGAAAUAAACCUCACUAGACAGCUUUUUAGUGAGACAAAGAACCAGUGAGCCAGAACAAGGUGUUAGUGGUGAAGAGAGACAAAGAAGAGAAACAACACCAAGAGGACAGUUGCUUGACAUAUUAAUAGAUGAUGACUCCUUCCAAGUAUGUCAUUAGCUCUGAGAGGUAAGGGGAAGUUAAAUUUUCAUGUACUGUACAUUAGUAUAUUAAUAUUGUCAUUUGGGGUCUGGAACAAAUUCAUUUUAUUUUAUUCUUUAUGGUAAAAUUGUUUUCAUUGUCAUCGAUUUCGAUUGUCAAAUCGACAUCUGGAAACAUUAAAUUUGAAAACUGAGGUUCCACUGUGUGUGUGUGUGUGUGUGGUGUGUGUGUGUGUGUGUGUGUGUGUGUGUGUGUGUACAUAUAUAUGUACAGCCUCUCUCCCUAGGUAGAUCUUUUUGUAACUUGAUAAAGUAAACUGUGAGAGAAAUGUUAUCAAUGUAGGAUCACAUUAUACUGCAUUUAUCUUUAUCCAUAGUGGAAGCAUUUUAUGCCAUUUUCCUCCAACUAGAAGGAUUAAUGAAUUAAGCUUGAUAUUGCAAAAGGAAAGCCUGUUUAUCAUUGAUAAUACUACUGUUGGUGUUGAAAUAUAAUUUCAUUAACAAUUUUAAUAGUACAGUAGUAAUAGCAUUAAUAUUAGUAUUAAAUACAAAUGUUAAUGACAAUUGCACUUGUAAUUAAAGAUAGGCAGAUGUAGCAUUGAGGAUGGCAUUGAGAAUUGGCAAUAUUAGUAUAAAACUAAUGCACAUUAUAGAAACUGAAAUCUAAAUACAAUGUUAAAAUUAAUGGUAAAAAUACAAAUAAGUACGUAUUGUAAAGGCAUAUAUCUACAACCUAAAACACAUGACUAAAUAAGGGAUUGUAGGGAAGUUAGAAGUGAUUUUGUUCUAUGGGAAAUGUGUGCUGCACAGUAUGACUAAAAGGAGGAAAAUGGAAAAGCAAACAUGAUUGACUUGUUAUAAAAAAGGUAAAUUUUAAGUUAGAGAAUAUUUCAGAGAAGCAAAAUGGAAUCGAAUAUUAUAAAGGAUGUAUAGAAAAAUAGUUACGCAAAAAGUUCUUGAACGUAUUUGAAAGUAGAAUCGACAUUUCCUUCAUAAAAAAAUAAAUAAAAAAAAGUAGGUACUGGAGAGCCAUGGAAAAAAGGUCUUUGAACCAAAACAAGAAGUUUGUCAACUUAAAGACCUAGUAGACAUUUACAAGCUAGCAAUCAGUAAAUAUUUAAAUACAAGUAAAGAAGAGGAAAGAAGCAUUGUAAAAUGGAAUCAUAUCUCCUUGAGUUUAUAAAAAGCAAUCACGAUAUGAAAAAUUAAAAAAAAAAAAAAAAAAAAAAAA
Cherax quadricarinatus is the source of this 8554-nucleotide long non-coding RNA. RefSeq lists it as uncharacterized. The record is from RefSeq and is a predicted model, not a curated record. NCBI's taxonomy places the organism in Eukaryota, Metazoa, Arthropoda, Malacostraca, Decapoda, Parastacidae.